GCCUCCUUGGCUCAGUUGGCUAGAGCGCAGGUCUCAUAUUCCGAUAUGAGUGAUCAUUCAGAUCAUACAAUCCUGAGGUCGCAAGUUCGAGCCUUGCAGGGGGCA
RNAcentral lists this transfer RNA (105 nucleotides) under Agrocybe pediades. Its description in RNAcentral is "tRNA-Met". It matches the Rfam family "tRNA". Rfam says of the family: Transfer RNA (tRNA) molecules are approximately 80 nucleotides in length. The record is from RNAcentral. Lineage: Eukaryota; Fungi; Basidiomycota; Agaricomycetes; Agaricales; Agrocybaceae.